GACGUAGUGCGCGAGCGUUGUCCGGAUUUAUUGGGCGUAAAGAGCUCGUAGGCGGCUUGUCGCGUCGUCCGUGAAAACCUGGGGCUCAACCCCAGGCUUGCGGUCGAUACGGGCAGGCUAGAGUUCGGUAGGGGAGACUGGAAUUCCUGGUGUAGCGGUGAAAUGCGCAGAUAUCAGGAGGAACACCGGUGGCGAAGGCGGGUCUCUGGGCCGAUACUGACGCUGAGGAGCGAAAGCGUGGGGAGCGAACAGG
RNAcentral lists this ribosomal RNA (253 nucleotides) under uncultured bacterium. Its description in RNAcentral is "partial 16S ribosomal RNA". It matches the Rfam family "Bacterial small subunit ribosomal RNA", at positions 524 to 776 of the family's 1533-position model. The record is from RNAcentral.